Long non-coding RNA from Hippocampus comes (tiger tail seahorse), 840 nucleotides. RefSeq lists it as uncharacterized. Lineage: Eukaryota; Metazoa; Chordata; Actinopteri; Syngnathiformes; Syngnathidae. The transcript has 3 exons. The record is from RefSeq and is a predicted model, not a curated record.
AUGCUCGGACAGACAAACGUGUUCAUUUGGUGACGUUUCACUUGAAAGUCGGAAGUUGGGCACAAACGCAUCCUUUAAUUGGUAUCGCUUUCUCUUUACAUGAGGCUCCCUUCCAUCAUCAUCAGUCUGACUCGAGUGUGCUGAAGAACAUUUCGUCCCUGAGACUGCAGACCAAAAAGAGCGAAAAGAACUAUUCGUUGAUCAAAACAUACAGAACCGAUUGACCAACUGCAACACCGAUUUGCGACGGCCUAUCUAUGACUAGAAUAGCACAAAUCAUGUACAAAGUACACAAAAAGCUGCUGUGGCGACACCUCUCGGAGAGUUCUUCCUUCAGCGUUUCAGUUUGUUCAACGGACUGGAACGACAGUCCCAAAGUCGAGCGCCGGCAGCUGUUCAAUGUCGCCCACUCGGCAUCCGUUGCAGGCUGGUCGCCCCGGUAGGGCGAUUCCGAUUCUGCCGUCUGCGGCCCCUGCUCAAGGGUUCUCAUUCGCGGUUGGCAAAGGGCUAACUUGACAUCUGGAGGACCGCCGGAGUUUGUUACGGAGUCCCAGCAAACGUUCAGGCGGUGGUUCUUCACCUGGCUUCGAUGAAUCAGUCUGCCAUGGAGGAGAAGACACACCCGACUCGACGUGUCAAAUUUCAACCGAGCGAGACAGAAGUGUCCCUUUCUGUUUGAAGAUCACACGAAAGAAGAGGACGAAAAACUGGGGGGGAGAUGGAAUGCUGGGACAAAGAUAAAUGCGGUCAGUCCAAGUACAAGGAAGGAUCAGACUUUUUACUAGAUGAGCAGUUUUUGUGUGUGUGUUUUUUGGAAAAGAAAUGACCCAGGCUAUUAUU